UAAACAAGCUUUACUUGACAUCGCUGCCAGUUCUGAUGACGAUGAAGGGCUAUAUGCACAUCUAAAAUCUUUGUAAGAUCAUCUCUUUGCUUAUUGUAGCCUUAUGUUACUUAUGUUGCCUUCUUCCACCGGCCUUUUUCAGAAUAUGAUUGUUGCAGGUGUCUGGCAGACAACUUUGCACUCCAGGCAAGCCAUCAGAGGUCUUCAGGUUUCCUGUGGCAUAUAGCUCCAAGAAGACAAAAAAGAGGAAAUCGUGGGGAAGAUUUGCAUAUACAAGUUCAUGAAAACAGGCAGCAAGGAAGACAAGGGCCCCAGCCGUGCCUUCCACAAUGGAUACGACUACAACAUGAGCCUCACCAGGCAGAGGUGCCAGUCUAGUUUAAAAGAAAAGGAGCACCCAGACUGCUUGCCUAUCUGAGAUCUUGUUCCACUAGCCAGGUGGCUUUUG
Molecule: long non-coding RNA, 448 nt
Filed under: Anas platyrhynchos platyrhynchos (common mallard)
Lineage: Eukaryota; Metazoa; Chordata; Aves; Anseriformes; Anatidae
Description: lncRNA (ENSAPLG00000028779.1)
Source: RNAcentral